RNAcentral lists this long non-coding RNA (9861 nucleotides) under Nicotiana tabacum (common tobacco). RNAcentral's name for it is "long non-coding RNA (NTAB_LNC000252)". Lineage: Eukaryota; Viridiplantae; Streptophyta; Magnoliopsida; Solanales; Solanaceae. The record is from RNAcentral.
ACCCCCUGAAAACUUCAUCUUCCUCACACCUCAUCCUCUCACAAGAACACAAUAACCUAAACGACCCAUGGACUCCAGGAUUCUUCUUCACACCCAAAAUCUCCAGCCGUGACAACCCAAUCCCGCUCCAUCUCCGCCAGCUCCUCCCUUCACCACCAAAUCAACAACGACACUCCCCCAUCUCGUUUGCAGUCGCCCAUACACUCAAAGAAGGAACGAACAGAAGCAACUAAGAACGAAGUGUUGCCAUUCUAAAACUUCAAUUGAGAUCUUGUUUUCUUGCUUUGAAUAGACCUAAGUCAGCAGUUUCAGUCCGUAGUCUUUUGCUCCUUGGGUCAUGCUUCCGCUCGAGUUCGUCAGUGUCCGGUCCAUCGAGUUGUUCGUUGAUAUGCCAUCCAAGGUAUCUGUUUGCGGUUUUCUGUUCUGUCGAGACUGCAGACUGCACGUUUGGAGCCGAUUUUCUUCAUUCUAUAAUUAGAGAAAAAUUGCUAAGCAGGUGCAAUUCAUGUAGCGUGGCUUACGAUGUAUUUUAAAUAACCUUGAAAUUUCCUGAAAUAUUAAAAGCGGCUAAAAAGUUAAAAGGGCACGUAGGUUUAAAAUGUGUAAUUAAAUCAGAUAAUUAGGCCAAUUGUUAAUAGUUGAGCGACCGUGCUAGAACCACGGAACCCGAGAGUACCUAACAGUUUUUCUCGGAUUAACAGAAUUUCUUACCCCGAUUUCUGUGUUCGCGGACCGUAAAUAGAGUCAACCUUCCUCGAUUCGGGAUUUUAAACCGGUGACUUGGGACACCGUAAAUUAUCCCAAGUGACGACUCUAAAUAAAUAAAUAAUUUCGUUUCGAUUGUCACUUAAAUUGAAAAAAACUCCCUUAUACCCUUGUCCGGGAUAGUAAAAAGGAGGUGUGACAGCUGUGGCGACUCUGUUGGGGAUAAGUACCCAGAACUUCUGGUUCAGGGUUCAGAAUUCGAGCUUAGACUAACUGUUAUAGUUAGCUUUUAUUUAUUAUCUAAUUUUUAUAUGUUUGAGCCUAAUGUGCUAAUUGUCGCUUUUUUACCGCUUUGAUAUUGGUUGGAUUGUAUAUAAAUUGUUACGAAACUUUCCUCUCUCUGAGUCUUCUAAAUCAUAUGGGAAGUGUGCACUUCGUAUGACUUCUCUUCUGUUAGAGUCAUAUUCCAAUUUUAGAACGAGGUUCGGACAAGUUGCAUAGCCGGUGAAGCUUUUGUAUUCCCGGUAUGCUGCCCCCCUCGGCUCGAGCUGUCCGCUCGGGUAAGCCAAGUCUAGAACAAAUACACCCAGGUUUUAAACCUAGAAUAACUCAACCUCAUGUUGGAUCCCUAAUAGGAAGGUUUGUUUGCAUCAUGUGCAUUUGACCUUGGGCAACACAGGGGUUGGGUCUGUCUAGGACAGAUGUACCCAAAAAUAAAAGACCAUCCUGAUGAAUCCUAAUGUGCUAUAUGUUGCAAUCUUCAAGGGUAAAAGGGGUUAUUUGGCAGACCAAUGAGGUUUGAGGGUAAAUGAGAAAGAAAAGAGGUUGAGGUAUAAAAAUAAAGCAAGUAGGGCUCAGUUAUGUUUUUCUUUCACAUUUUUUUUAAUAAAAAAAAUCCGUAAAGAUUUUGCAUUUUUUCAUCAUUUUCCAAAAAAAAAUCAAAAAAGGGAAAAGAAAAUCCAAAAAGAGUUUACAUGUUUCAUCAUUUUUCAAAACAAAAGACAAAAAUAUUUUUUUCUUUGAAUUAGUUAUUAUUUUUAUUUCUCGCCCGUAUCCAAUCUGCCUGAACUACGCAUACCUGAUUCUUGUCUUUCGGGGCGUGAUACGUAGGCAACCCACAUAGGGUCCGGUCUUCCUAGUGAAUCUUAGGUGCAUGGCUUUGCGGGUCUUAGCCAAAUCUUGCAUUUUUAGCCACAUAGGUUAAUUUUAGAAAAAUAAUCACAAUGAUGUCUUCCAUGUGUCCGACAGGAAAGGUUAUUGUCUCACAUCGCGUUCUAGGUCUUUAACUUUAUUUGGUCAUAAUUUUCUCAUACAUGUGUGGAUCUACUUACCGGAGUUUGGGCAUGUCAGACGCCUUAGGACCACCCAGUCAAGAUCGCUCAUUCAAGAGUUGCUUUAGAAGAAUUUUAUUUUAUUUUAUUAUUUUGUUUUAUGUUUUGAGUAUGUUUUUCCUUUUUAUGUCGUCUUUUACCUUCUAGUUUUGUACAGUAAUGUCGAUUCUUUUGUUAUUGUACUUUCUAUUUUAUAUUUGAAAAGUAUGGUGUAACUCAAAAAUCCAAAAAAAAAAAGAUUUUGUGUUUUAUAUUUCCGUUAGAAAUUUUCUUUAGAAUACUAAUUCUAGAAACGAAAAAAAAUUGUGGUGGUUUUUUCUUUAGGAAAUUAAUAUCUAGAACUCAAAAUAAAAAUUGCUUUUAUACUUCCUCUUAGUAAAUUAAGACUAACAAUUAAAAAAAAAAGGAAUUUUCUUUUAGUACCUCUUUAAAAGCUUUCUUUAAGAUAUUGAUUCCAAAAAUUAAAAAAGAUUUUCUUUUGAGAUUCUUCUUUGGGAAAUUGAUGAAAAAUGACUUAAAAAAAUCUUUUAUUUUUACUAAAACUCUAGGAUAUUGUACAUAGAAGAAAAAGAAAACAACAUACUUUAUCUUUUAUUUAUCUUUAAAGUUUCUUCCUUAGGUAAUCAAAACUGAAAUCCAAAAAUAUUUUUUUUGUUUUGUUCAUUUCUCGUUUCAAAAUCUUUCUUCAGGCAUAUCAAAUGAAAAUUCAAAAUAUUUUUCUUUGGUUUAUUCUUUAGAUUUCCUUCUUAAAAAAAGAGAAUCAGAAUCAAAAAAAUAUUUUUCUCUUAUAGGAUUUUUUUUCUUAAUAAUUUCCCAUAGAGUAUUUGUUUCAAAAAGAAAAAAAGAAAAAAUAUAUGCCUGAUAAGCUUGAGUUUAGAAUAGGUUAUAGAAUAUUAAGUCUAGAAAAUUCAAAAAAAAGAGAUUUUGCGUCUUUUAUUCUCUUUUCUCAUCAGAAUAGUCUUUAAGGUAAUAAAAAAAGAGAAUGUUAGUUUGUUUACUUUGUUCCCGAUCUUUCCGAACUACGCAAAGAUCUGAUUAACGCAGCGUCAUGAUACGUAGGCAACCUACAUAGGGUUCAAUUGAAUCAUUUUUCUUUUUAUUAAAAAAAAAAAAAGAAAAGAAAAAAAAAGAUGAAUUAUGGGAUGUGAGAAAUGAAAGAAAAAAAAGAGAGAUGAAUUAUGGGAUGUGAGAAAUGAAAGAAAAAAAAGAGAGAUGAAUUAUGGGAUGUGAGAAAUGAGGGAAAAUAAAAGAGUGAUAAUUUAAAAUAAAAGGAGGAAAAUGAGCAAGCCAAGAGGUGCUAGAAAAGAAAGAAAAGAGAAGAAUGAAAUGAACAAAAUUGGGAUGAUGCCAAGUGACCAUGUGACCCUCGAAGUCAUUCUUGAACCGUUAAUUGUUGCUAGGUGCAUUGCACGCAAUGUGAUAUUUUUUUAGCUGUUAAAUGCACUAACGCUAACGUGAUGACCUCAUUUUGUUCCUUUUUGUUAUCUUCAUUGAGUAGAAGGGUGGUUGGUUUGUGGUUCUUAAGUAACUCAUCACUACAACACAAGGUCAAAAAGCAAGGUAGCCAUGGCUAGCAAUGACUUGGACACAGGGGUUAUUGAUCCGUCUAAGGGAAUUGUUGAAUCAGAAUCUAAGUUGAAAGAAGAGGUCUUAAGGUUGAAAGGAUAGAUGGCCGAAAUAUACCAAGCCUGAAUUACUGGGCGUCCUCCGCCAUAGUUCCCACUAACUACACUGAAAGCCUUGUCACCAUUCCGCCACUGUCACAAGUCCAGUAUAUCUCCCCACGACCUCUUCACACUCCACCCUUUAGAACCACCUCAUAUCCCGCUCCUUUGACCAGUCAUGUUUUUGUAGCUCAUCCACCUGCUACCUUUACUCAAUCCUCUAGCAAGACUGUGUUCAAAAUCCUCGAUGUCCAACAUUAUGCUCCAGAACCAUUUUCAGGGUCUCGGGUCCAUACUCUUUCGCUCCUUAUUUUGAUCCUCCCGGUGAGACUGCAAAGCCUGCUAAGACAGUGGAGCAAGAUGAGAUAUCCAGAAAGCUGAAAGGGUUUAAGAUGCCAAAGUUUAAUUUGUAUGAUGGGCGUGGAGAUCCAGUAGCCCAUCUAAGAGGUUAUUGCAGUAAAAUGAGAAAUGUUGGCGGGAAAAAUGAGUUGCUGAUGGUGUAUUUCAGAGAGAGCCUGACUGGGGCAACUUUGGAAUGGCAUACUCGUCAAGAUGUCGGUAAGUGGCAUACAUGGGAUGACAUGGCUCAAGAUUUUGUGCGACACUUUCAGUACAAUAUAAACAUUGUCCUAGACCGCUCCUCCCUAUCUCAGAUGGAAAAGAAACCCAAGGAAAGUUUUAGGAAAUUUUGGUUCAGAUGGAACGAACAAGUUGCUCGGGACAGUCCUCCCAUUGAUAGAAAUCUGAGCCCCUCCAACGACAGGAUCCAGCGGGCAUUCUUGCUAAACGCUUCCAGCCUCAAUACUGACCUCAUGAACAUCCUCGAUCUCCACAUAAUUCACCCCAGUAUUAUCCUCCGAACAACGUUCGGUCAUCUGUCUAGCCACUAGGUCACUCCAAAAGGCGAGCACGAGCAUUGCAGAAUCCCCACCAGCCUCCACAAAAUUUUCAAGUGCCCUAUAACCCACAUUCAAGCCAAGGGUGUAGAAGGGAACAAAGGCUGAAAGAUAAUUUUACACCAAUAUGAGAGUCAUGUGCAAGCUUGUUUGAAAAGUUAAAGCAUUCUAGCCUGAUUGAGCCACUCCUCGGCUAUACUCCAGACCCACGUGUGAGAAGCUUUGACCUUGCUAAAGGUGUGAAUACCAUUCCAAUGCCCAGAGGCACAAUGUUGAAGGUUGUCGUGCUUUGAAAAGGGAAAUAGAAAGAAUGAUUCAAGAAGGAAUAAUUGUGGUCCAAGGUAGUAAUACCCCAAGUGUCACACAUAAUCCUCUACAGGUACAUGACAACGCACAAAUUGUUGGGAUGGUUUGCAAUGACGAAGGGUUGGUCAAAGGAUUCAAUAAGCCACUUGGUGAAGACAAUGUGAUUGAAGUUGGUGAAGGUCCUAAUACUAUUGAUGUGGAAAUUAGAAAGACGCUCCUUUCUUGGCUAGCCAGGAAGGAGCCUUGGUGGUUCAUUUUUUUGUCAUUUCUGUUGUCCGGUUUAUUUUAGGGUUGUAAUCCAGAUAUUGUCUUGUGACUCAAACCGUUCUAUCCUUUAUUUGCCUAGUUCAUUUAGUCGUAGUACCCCUUUUAGUGUUAUUUAGGUUUUUCCAAGGUCGUAACCCCGAUAUGUUUUGUUUGUUUUGUUGUUCAAACCCUUUCACCGUCUGUCUAAUGUAAUUAUCUGUUUUCUGUUAUUUCUAGUCAUUUUUGUUCAGUUCUCUUUUCCUUUUAUAGUUCUUUUCCUGUUGGCUCUAGUGACAUGACAUGCAUGCAUAAUUCUAGGUCUGGUCUUAAUAGUUAGUUUAAUCAUGAAGUAAUAAAAUAAUUUUGAAGAUGAUAGGGACAUUUGAGGGAAAUAAGUAAAGGCAUUUUGAAAUCAUUUGAAGCCCGAACUAUGUGAAACUGGGGCAGAUAAUUUGGAAAUUUAAUAGGAUGAUAAGAAUUCGUUAAAGGAGAGUGCUUCCCAGACAAUUUGAAGCAAGCAGUUUUGAGUUCAAGUGCAUCUCAAGUAACAAGUUAAAGCCAAGGGAUUUUGCUCCAAACAGACGGAGGGUAUCCAUUGUGAAGGAGAAAUAACCCAACGAGAGUUCUGUACUUGACAAGGCACUAAAAAAAGUGGAAGGGAUAUCAGUGAUAUCAAUGCCGAAGCUGCAAAAGAAAUGUUGUGCAUGGUCUUCUUUUUCAUUCUCAAGUUGAACGUGUUGUACUUGGCAUUUUCAGGGAUUGGGAGGCCCACUUUCAGCUACCCAAACACUUAUAUCAUUCAAUACCCUUUUGAGCUUGUGCUAAUUUUCUUUGGCCUCCCAUCUUUUGGAAUCAAGUUAGAGUCAUACGAAAAGAAAAAAAAUUCAUGUCCCCAUAGGUUUAUUUUAGAAAGUUCAUUCCAAAAGGAAAAUUCAAAAAAAAGGAGAAAAAAUAGAGAUAAAGAAAAAAAGAGAAAAGAAAAGAAAGAAAAAAGGAAAAAGGCAAAUAGUAACAAAAAGUAGUCUCGUGAACUACAUUUGACCUGAUUCUUGUCCCCACAAGAUACGUAGGCAGCUUUAUGGUUCGAUCAUACCAAAUAAAAUAUUUCCUAAUCCCACGAAGUCAAAAGUGGGGCAGUCUUUCUUAGUAACUCCACCAAAAGAAAAAGGAAAAAGAGAAUCAAAUUCCUUUGCUUUAGAAAAUGGGGCAAGAUUGUUAGAAUGGAUUCCAAAAGUUGUAAAUAAAUUUACCCAGUUGUCUUUGUUAUUUUGAGCCUUUAUGAUAUCCUUUCUUUCCAACCCUGUCCAAAAGCCAUAUUACAGACCAAGACCUCCCAUAUAAUGUUUCAGAGUGCUGAGUUUAGACAUACCAAGAGUACAUGAUGUUUUUACCAUGGUUAAUGCCUUGUCAUCUGCAAAAUCAGAGGAAAUAAGAAGAAAAGAGCAAAAUGAGAGAGUCUUAUUGGUGAAAACCUUCACAGACACCAUAAGGCGAUGGUGAUUUGAGAAAAAGAACAAAAUGAGAGAGGCUUGAUGGUGAAAACCCUUCGGGCACUACAAGUCGAAUAAGGAUUGUGAAUCAGAUUGGAUAAUCGGAGCAUCGAAGCCCAGUUUCACGGUUUAGGGUUAUAACAAGAGUUGAACAUCAGACUUGCUUGAUAGAUUAGGGCACUUAAUCCAAAGGUGCAUGUCAUGGUCAUUAGAGUUGGUAUCCACAUAUGAUAAGUUUCUACUUUGUAGUUUUCUUGUUAGGAAUCAUCUCUUUCCAUUGUCCUUUACUUUGUUCCUUUUGUCUUGUUUACUUCAUCUUCCUGAUUCUGUUUGGUCAGAACAAGUGAGAAAUAACUUCAAAAUUUGCCACCAGCUUUUCAAUUGCACAAAACGGGAUCUGCCUAGCACAAAGUGACAUAAUUCAGGAAAGAACAGCAUGCGCACUGAGUUGGUAACAAUUAACGUGCUUUGGGAUUCAUGUGAGACACAAAGGUUUAAUAUAUGUCAAUGCAUGAGCACAAUGCAACUGAUGAAUGGUAUUGGGUUUGAAUGGAUCAGAGGUAUUUUUCGUGAUUAGGGUGACAGAGAAAGUGGUCAGUCAAUAAACAGGUCAGGUCUUUCGAGAUGAAAUCAAAGUUAUCAUGGGAAGUAAAGGAGCAAUCGCCCUCAAAGUCAAGGUCGAAAACCAACCACCAUGUUUAAACUCACAAGUUUUCUUUGAUUGAAACAGGGGCAGGAAAUUUUGUUUGUUCUAGAGAAACCCUCUGUGAGGAAAGCAGGUGCCAUACAAGCUCGACAGUAAGUUUCUAGUGCCCUCCUGGAUGAAGGGAUUCAGUAAGUUAUGAGACCCNNNNNNNNNNNNNGGAAAGAAGCAAUGUUCAAAGGGAGACAACAAUCAGGAGCCCACCUGGAGAACAAAGGGAAACAGUUCAAGUCUCAAGGAAAACAGUGCAAAUGAUGGUAAUCAGGCACCCACUUGGAGAAUAAGAAGAAGGCAGUUCAAGUUUCGAAGGAAGACAGUUCGAGUAUUGGCAAUUAGGCGCCUACCUAGAGAAUAAGGGAAUUCACUUCCGAAUGCAAUUCAAGUCAGUAAUAAAAGAAGCUCGCUGCAAGAAUGCAAGUCAACAGUCCGAGGUGAUCAACAAAAGUUAGUCACAAUCCAAAAAAAAGGCAAGAAGUGAAUCCAAAUGCAGAUGAAAGAUGUGAGAUGCUCAAGACAUGACUAAAGUCACGAGCAUGGUAUGUCCGAUUUUGAUCCAAAAAGUUGAAGAAGAAUGAAUUAGCACCUGCAACUAGCAAGCGCAAGGUUCAAAUCCAAAGUCUGCAUAAAGAACCAUUCAAGACUCAAUAUCAAGCUUUAGAAGACUUAUAGAUAGGAAUCUUGUAACUCGUAGUUGACAGGCUUAGCUAGUCUUUUUCAUUUUUGAUGUAAUAGCAGGACCGCGGACCGGAACCUCGGUGGAAUGGCACCUCAAUCGGCUCUCCACCUCGGUAUACUCCAUCAUCUCACUCACUCCUGAACUACACGUGGCCUGAUUCCUUUAUAGCCAGGGAUAUGUAGGCAGCUCAAAUACCAGGGCUCGGUCACAUUCCCCUUUUCUCUUAGUUUUAGUCUCUCCAAAUAAGGGUCAAGUCAAAAAACUUGUCUAGUGGUUCUUUGUCUGAAAAUACUUCGUAUUUUCAGUCAAAGAGGGGCAGCUGUAGACAUGUGAUUUUUGACCCUCCCCAAUUUUUUAAUAUUUUAGCAUGUAAAUAUUUAAUUUAGGCAUAGUAUUGUUAUUUCAAUUAAUUUUGACUCUUUUAAUUUAUUUUAUUACAAGAAAAUAAAAACUACAAAAAAAAUAGUUUCAUUAAUGUUUGUAGUCAUUUUUAAUCUUGAAAAAUACCAAAAAUAGUUUUGUUUUAAUGGUCAGUCUUAUUUUAACAGUUAUUUUACUUAAGUAGGAUUAAUUAAUAAAUGAGAUCGUAUUUUUAAUUUCGUUCGCGAGGAAAGAAUAAAUUUGGGCUCAAACAUCCCAUUUUUAGGUCUAAUUUUUGGAUCUAGCCCAAAACUACUAGGCCUAUAUCCCUUAACCUAAAUAUAAUCCUAAAACCCUAAACCUAUAAAAAGAAGCUAACCAAAAAAUGCCUAAGGGAUUUAUCAGUGAAAAUACACACAAAAAAUCAGACCUAGAUGCAUAAGCGAAAUCAGCGCCGUUGAUAACACAAGAACCCCACCCCCUGAAAACUUCAUCUUCCUCACACCUCAUCCUCUCACAAGAACACAAUAACCUAAAUGACCCCUGAACUCCAGGCUUCUUCUUCACACCUAAAUCUUCAGCCGCGGCAACCCAGUCCCGUCCCAUCUCCGCCAACUCCUCCCUUCACCACCAAAUCAACAACGACACUCCCCCCAUCUCGUUUGCAGUUGCCCAUACACUCAUAGAAGGAACGGACAGAAGCAACUGAGAACGAAGUGUUGCCAUUCUAAAACUUCAAUUGAGAUCUUGUUUUCUUGCUUUGAAUAGACCUAAGUCAGAAGUUUCAGUCCAUAGUCUUUUGCUCCUUGGGUCGUUCUUCUGCUCGAGUUUGUCGGUGUCCGAUCCAUCGAGUUGUUCGUUGAUACGCUGUCCGAGGUGUCUAUUUGCGGUUUUCUGUUCUGUCUAGACUGCAGACUCCACGUUUGGAGCUGAUUUUCUUCAUUCUGUAGUUAGAGAAAAAUUGCUAAGCAUGUGCAAUCUUCUACCCUUUGUUUCAUGUUUUGUUGUUGAUGAGAAUAUGAAUCAAGCCUAAGCUGAAUUGGUUCAAGAACUUGUGCGAUUGAUUGAUUCUAUAGUAAAAUGUUUUGUUAAUAACAUUUGCUUUAAGACCGGUUUCAUUUCUGUGUUUGGUUUUGUUUACAUUUAACGUGAAAUCUUUACCGUUGUUUCUCUUGUUGUCUAGUUGACAUUUUUAAUUACCAUCUGUUAGCUUCUUUGUUUUGUGGUGGAAUGAAAGAACUAAGGUAUUGGUUGUGUGUUGGCUAUGUUCUUGGUCAUUUUUUUUAGUAUAAAAGGAUUUCCUUGUCUGUCAGUAUAAGUUUCAAGUUUGUGACUUUUGAAUCCACUCCCAUUCAACUAUGAGACCAGAUCUGAAAAUCUCUUAGUGAUUGUUAACUAGAUUUUUGUUUAGAUGUUUAUGUUUGGAAACUAUUAGAAGAUAAAACCAUUUUACAUGCAUGUUGGCAACUUUAGCGUGGGUUCAG